Molecule: ribosomal RNA, 424 nt
Filed under: uncultured prokaryote
Description: bacterial SSU rRNA
Rfam family: Bacterial small subunit ribosomal RNA
Source: RNAcentral
UGGGGAAUCUUAGACAAUGGGGGAAACCCUGAUCUAGCCAUGCCGCGUGAGUGACGAAGGCCUUAGGGUCGUAAAGCUCUUUCGCCAGGGAAGAUAAUGACGGUACCUGGUAAAGAAACCCCGGCUAACUCCGUGCCAGCAGCCGCGGUAAUACGGAGGGGGUUAGCGUUGUUCGGAAUUACUGGGCGUAAAGCGCGCGUAGGCGGACCAGUUAGUCAGAGGUGAAAUCCCGGGGCUCAACCCCGGAACUGCCUUUGAUACUGCUGGUCUUGAGUCCGAGAGAGGUGAGUGGAAUUCCGAGUGUAGAGGUGAAAUUCGUAGAUAUUCGGAGGAACACCAGUGGCGAAGGCGGCUCACUGGCUCGGUACUGACGCUGAGGUGCGAAAGCGUGGGGAGCAAACAGGAUUAGAUACCCCCGUAGUCC